Molecule: non-coding RNA, 459 nt
Organism: Leptonychotes weddellii (Weddell seal)
Lineage: Eukaryota; Metazoa; Chordata; Mammalia; Carnivora; Phocidae
Source: RefSeq, a predicted model, not a curated record
AUUCAAAGCACAUGAAACACCUCUUGCCAGCAAAGAGAGCUGUGUUGCUAUCUUGGAAAAAUCCAGAUUAGAUCACUGGGUGCUGGGAAAAACAAAGGUUUUUCUCAAAUAUUACCAUGUCGAGCAGUUAAAUUUGUUGCUGCAAGAAGUCAUAGGCAGAGUGGUUGUGCUGCAGGCAUAUGCCAAGGGGUGGCUUGGAGCCAGGAGAUACAAAAGAAUCAGAGAGAGGAAAGAGAAGGCGGCGAUUGCCAUUCAAUCAGCCUGGAGAGGAUAUGAUGCUUGGAAGAAAUUUAAGAAAAUAAGCAACAGAAGGAGUGAGUCUGCGGUUCCUAUUCAAGCAGGACACCCUUUAGACCAAAGCAGUGAUCUGCAGCCCACUGUCACAAGGGAUAGCAAGAGAAGUGCCCAGGAUCAAGACUGCAGUAAACCUGGUGACCACACAGGUGGGGUCAUUAGAGG